This is a long non-coding RNA of Fundulus heteroclitus (mummichog), 2111 nucleotides long. RefSeq lists it as uncharacterized. The transcript is spliced from 2 exons. The record is from RefSeq and is a predicted model, not a curated record. NCBI's taxonomy places the organism in Eukaryota, Metazoa, Chordata, Actinopteri, Cyprinodontiformes, Fundulidae.
GAUAGAUAGAUAGAUAGAUAGGUGACCUACUUUCUGCUAAAAUGAAAUAAUAUUAUUUUCUGACUCCGUCAGAUAAGGGUGGAGGCCUGUGUUUCAUGUAGAAACCCAAAGUUAUUGUCUUCCCAGUGCUGAGUUGGGGCCUCUGGCCUAAUCCUGCCUUGCUGAAUCAGUAAAUAUAUUAUAAAGAAGACAGUCUUACAGCUCCUCCAAAGGCUUGUUGAAUGUAUAGGUCAAGUUCCUCACAUGUGAGGAGUUUUAGCUCAGAACAACUAUUCACUAAUAUCAAAGAGAAGCUGAUGUAAGAUGUUUGACAUCCGUGGAAGGUUUCACAGCUGGAAAUGUUUGUGAGAUUCUCCGAGCUCACCAACCUGUCACUGAUUUAUGGGGAAACUUGUUACCUCAGUGAAAGCCCUCCAUCCUGGCUGCAUUCAGUGGUGGGGUGAUGACACGGACCCAGUGCUGGCCACAGGAUGAUGGGUCUGGCUCUAGCUCUGACCAAAAAACAGCCCAGUGACACAUUGCAACCAAUCAGUUUGACUCCCAGGGAUCCAGCUCAGCUCUGUGUUGUGGAGGAAACUUUCUCGUUGAUAAACCAAACACCCCAAGAUCAGAGGUUAGGUUUCAUUUAUAUCUGCUAAUAAUCACAAUAAAAAUGACAGUACUAAAAAGGCUAAAUAUUAUUUCCUAAAGGACACAGGCACUGGUGUUUCUAUCUCUUUUUCUUGUGUAUUUAUUCUUUUCCUGGUCUAAACGUCCUGUCGUUUGUUGCAGUGAACAGCUCCUCGGUUGAGCAAGGAACCAUCAGAUAAACCGUCUGAUGCUCUGAGAAGGUGAUUGGGUUCACCGCCUCUGCUCUGUGGUCAGGACCUGAACUAGAACCGGGCCGCUUCAACCACCGAGGCAGACUUGAGUCUCAUUCUAUGGGCAGAAAACAGAGACCAUCUGGUGGACUGGUCAAACCCUGGCCCAUGCAGGCAAGGAUGUUCGGGAAGAUUGUGAGAGGCAGAGGCCAUGACUACAGAAAUACAGAGAAGUUAACUCUUCCUCUUCGUUUUUUGUCAUCACCAUAAACACAAAACCGGCUACGCAUGAAGCUUGUUCCCGCAUGAUGCAUGGGCCCAUAUGGUGCCAGCUUUGCCUUUCUCCUCUUCAGUCCAAAGCAGAAAACAAGUUUUCAAAGGAAAGAAACAUCAGGGGUUGGAGUCGAACCCUGUUCUCACUGCAGGGGAACUCAAGUCAAGCCAGCAGGAGCAAAUCAGGCAGUAUCCCCGACAGGUGUCCUACUGGCUCAUCCCUGUUCAGCAGGAGGAAACAAAACAUUAGCGGUGCUGUGGAGCUCUGCCACUCCCCGUCAGCCUAAACAGAAACCCCCGAACCAGUCCGGCACUUCACAUCUCCCACACUAACUGGAAAUAGAGCGAGAACACUGAGCCGAAAGAACCUGGUCAGAGCUUCAAUGUGAGGAAGAGGAGGAUGGGGAUCCCAGGAGGGAUGCGGAGCGCUGCGCGCGAAGCCGAGAGAGAGCCGCCUGCGGCCCGCCGAGAAGCAGCUCUGCUCCCUCGACUGGAGCUCAGCGUGGACCUGCUUUUCAAUGUUCACCCUGCGGAAGGAUUUCCACGGGAUAUUUAAAAUAACCUUCUUUAGAACGAUUCAAUCUCAAACAUGUUUAAAAAGCCCUGAUAAUAAGAAGAUUAGUAGAAAUAUUAAACAUGCUAUGGUGGCAGAAAGUGGCUGGUGCGCAAUAAAUCUGCUGCUUUGAUGAAAUGCAUCUGGAAAAAAACAGCAAGCCAACUUCAUAGUUUUUAUUAAAUAAAAGUGCUUUACAUGAAGCUGCUGCAGGCCGCUCCCACAGCUUCACAGGGUUCACAAAGUGUGUGUGUGUGUGUGUGUGUGUGUGUGUGUGUGUGUGUGUGUGUGUGUGUGUGUGUGUGUGUGUGUGUGUGUGUGUGUGUGUGUGUGUGUGUGUACCUCCAGCUUUAUCUGACGGGUCAGGAGGCGUUCAGGGACAAACAGGGAAAAAAACGCCUCUCUGCUGUCAGACCCAAAUAAAAAGGUGUCACCGGCUGAUUUGGGAGCAGCGAUUUUAUACAAAACAAACAGGUGAAAAAAAA